GAGCUACUUUAGCUCAAAUUGCUGAAAAACUAAAUUCUCACUAUGAUAGAAAGGUGUCCGAACACAAAGUAUAUGGCAGUUUGCUGUGUAUUCGGCUGUGUAUAAAGUGCCCAUAUUGACCCCCUGUUCCCGCUGAAAGCUUCUUCAAUGGGGACGUCCGCAUCAGAACAUGACCAUGGACCAAUGGAAUGUAACCUGGUCUGAUGAAUCUUGUUUUCUUGGAUGGAUGGAUGCAUGUG
Non-coding RNA from Pelobates cultripes (western spadefoot toad), 239 nucleotides. The record is from the annotation of a GenBank genome assembly. Lineage: Eukaryota; Metazoa; Chordata; Amphibia; Anura; Pelobatidae.